This 497-nucleotide ribosomal RNA is filed under the name uncultured bacterium. RNAcentral describes it as "partial 16S ribosomal RNA". It matches the Rfam family "Bacterial small subunit ribosomal RNA", at positions 28 to 507 of the family's 1533-position model. The record is from RNAcentral.
GAUGAACGCUGGCGGCGUGCCUAAUACAUGCAAGUCGAGCGAACAGACGAGGAGCUUGCUCCUCUGACGUUAGCGGCGGACGGGUGAGUAACACGUGGAUAACCUACCUAUAAGACUGGGAUAACUUCGGGAAACCGGAGCUAAUACCGGAUAAUAUAUUGAACCGCAUGGUUCAAUAGUGAAAAACGGUUUUUCUGUCACUUAUAGAUGGAUCCGCGCCGCAUUAGCUAGUUGGGAAGGUAACGGCUUACCAAGGCAACGAUGCGUAGCCGACCUGAGAGGGUGAUAGGCCACACUGGAACUGAGACAGGGUCCAGACUCCUACGGGAGGCAGCAGUAGGGAAUCUUACGCAAUGGGCGAAAGCCUGACGGAGCAACGCCGCGUGAGUGAUGAAGGUCUGCGGAUCGUAAAACUCUGUUAUUAGGGAAGAACAAAUGUGUAAGUAACUAUGCACGUAUUGACGGUACCUAAUCAGAAAGCAACGGCUAACUACGUG